AAGAUAUUAGUAAACAGUAUUUACUUAUUCUAUAUAUAAUAGUAAGUUCCAGCGUGGCCUCACAGAAGAAACUGUGACCAACGUGGCAGUCAAAGUGUUAAAAAAACACCGAAACAGCUAGAAUUCCUGUACUACACAUGCGAGUGGAAGUAAAGUUCAAAUCUCCACAAUGUAAAAACUUGUCGAAUUGUCUGGAAAUUGAGAUACAAAAGCGCGACGCUGACCAGAAUCGAAAUGAAAUUAGAAAUACAAUGGAGAAUAAAGGCCCAAAGCGACACGAUUAUUAUGAAGCCGACCUUUCGAAUUAAUAGACGCGGAUCGUAUCUCAUCGACCGUAUCGCACGGCCAGUUACGACUUCGAAGAGAUCGUCGCGGGGACGCCGACAACAACGACGACGACGAUGCGUCACCGAGUUCCCGGAGAAAAUUACGAACUUUCUCGUGGUUCUCUCUAGUUUAAGGUGUCCGCUGAUGAGACUCGUGGGAGUCGACCGAUAUCCCAGCUACCGUUCAUCAUCGAGCCGACAAUUGUCUGCAACUACUGGAUCUUCGAUGCGACGAAUAAAAUCGGAGCAACGAUGGUGAUAGUCUAAAGCUAAAUUACAAAGCUACA
Bombus pyrosoma is the source of this 613-nucleotide long non-coding RNA. RefSeq lists it as uncharacterized. The record is from RefSeq and is a predicted model, not a curated record. The transcript has 3 exons. NCBI's taxonomy places the organism in Eukaryota, Metazoa, Arthropoda, Insecta, Hymenoptera, Apidae.